Molecule: ribosomal RNA, 1346 nt
Filed under: uncultured bacterium
Lineage: Bacteria
Description: bacterial SSU rRNA
Rfam family: Bacterial small subunit ribosomal RNA
Source: RNAcentral
AACAAACGCUGGCGGCGUGCUUAACACAUGCAAGUCGAACGGAAAGGCCCUGCUUUUGUGGGGUGCUCGAGUGGCGAACGGGUGAGUAACACGUGAGUAACCUGCCCUUGACUUUGGGAUAACUUCAGGAAACUGGGGCUAAUACCGGAUAGGAGCUCCUGCUGCAUGGUGGGGGUUGGAAAGUUUCGGCGGUUGGGGAUGGACUCGCGGCUUAUCAGCUUGUUGGUGGGGUAGUGGCUUACCAAGGCUUUGACGGGUAGCCGGCCUGAGAGGGUGACCGGCCACAUUGGGACUGAGAUACGGCCCAGACUCCUACGGGAGGCAGCAGUGGGGAAUAUUGCACAAUGGGCGGAAGCCUGAUGCAGCAACGCCGCGUGCGGGAUGACGGCCUUCGGGUUGUAAACCGCUUUCGCCUGUGACGAAGCGUGAGUGACGGUAAUGGGUAAAGAAGCACCGGCUAACUACGUGCCAGCAGCCGCGGUGAUACGUAGGGUGCGAGCGUUGUCCGGAUUUAUUGGGCGUAAAGGGCUCGUAGGUGGUUGAUCGCGUCGGAAGUGUAAUCUUGGGGCUUAACCCUGAGCGUGCUUUCGAUACGGGUUGACUUGAGGAAGGUAGGGGAGAAUGGAAUUCCUGGUGGAGCGGUGGAAUGCGCAGAUAUCAGGAGGAACACCAGUGGCGAAGGCGGUUCUCUGGGCCUUUCCUGACGCUGAGGAGCGAAAGCGUGGGGAGCGAACAGGCUUAGAUACCCUGGUAGUCCACGCUGUAAACGGUGGGUACUAGGUGUAGGGUCCAUUCCACGGGUUCCGUGCCGUAGCUAACGCUUUAAGUACCCCGCCUGGGGAGUACGGCCGCAAGGCUAAAACUCAAAGGAAUUGACGGGGCCCCGCACAAGCGGCGGAGCAUGCGGAUUAAUUCGAUGCAACGCGUAGAACCUUACCUGGGUUUGACAUGGAUCGGGAGCGCUCAGAGAUGGGUGUGCCUCUUUUGGGGUCGGUUCACAGGUGGUGCAUGGCUGUCGUCAGCUCGUGCCGUGAGAUGUUGGGUUAAGUCCCGCAACGAGCGCAACCCUUGUUCACUGUUGCCAGCACGUUAUGGUGGGGACUCAGUGGAGACCGCCGGGGUCAACUCGGAGGAAGGUGGGGAUGACGUCAAGUCAUCAUGCCCCUUAUGUCCAGGGCUUCACGCAUGCUACAAUGGCUGGUACAGAGAGUGGCGAGCCUGUGAGGGUGAGCGAAUCUCGGAAAGCCGGUCUCAGUUCGGAUUGGGGUCUGCAACUCGACCUCAUGAAGUCGGAGUCGCUAGUAAUCGCAGAUCAGCAACGCUGCGGUGAAUACGUUCCCGGGGCU